AUUGAACGCUGGCGGCAUGCCUUACACAUGCAAGUCGAACGGCAGCGGGCCUUCGGGUGCCGGCGAGUGGCGAACGGGUGAGUAAUGCAUCGGAACGUGCCAUUGAGUGGGGGAUAACGUAGCGAAAGUUACGCUAAUACCGCAUAUUCUGUGAGCAGGAAAGCAGGGGACCGCAAGGCCUUGCGCUCUUUGAGCAGCCGAUGUCAGAUUAGCUAGUUGGUGAGGUAAAGGCUUACCAAGGCGACGAUCUGUAGCGGGUCUGAGAGGAUGAUCCGCCACACUGGAACUGAGACACGGUCCAGACUCCUACGGGAGGCAGCAGUGGGGAAUUUUGGACAAUGGGCGCAAGCCUGAUCCAGCCAUGCCGCGUGAGUGAAGAAGGCCUCGGUGUAAG
This 394-nucleotide ribosomal RNA is filed under the name uncultured bacterium. RNAcentral describes it as "bacterial SSU rRNA". It matches the Rfam family "Bacterial small subunit ribosomal RNA", at positions 30 to 429 of the family's 1533-position model. The record is from RNAcentral.